Molecule: non-coding RNA, 209 nt
Organism: Pelobates cultripes (western spadefoot toad)
Lineage: Eukaryota; Metazoa; Chordata; Amphibia; Anura; Pelobatidae
Source: the annotation of a GenBank genome assembly
AUUGUGAAUCCCUCCCUUGCAUGGUAGAAAGCUUGAAAAGAAGGUUGUUGGGAAUAAAAGUGCAGUUCUGCUCCUGAUACUGUGUGUCGUCCAGUUAUUGGGAAAGGUGAUGGGAUACUAUUGGAUUUUACUGCUGAUUGAGCUUGUUAUGCUGGUGGAUUAUUCGCUCACUGUGGGUACUGUGCCUGGGAUUAUUGCUUGUUCCUGAG